GUCACACCAUGGGAGUGGGUUGCAAAAGAAGUAGGUAGCUUAACCUUCGGGAGGGCGCUUACCACUUUGUGAUUCAUGACUGGGGUGAAGUCGUAACAAGGUAACCGUAGGGGAACCUGCGGUUGGAUCACCUCCUUACCUUAAAGAAGC
Molecule: ribosomal RNA, 150 nt
Filed under: Escherichia coli
Lineage: Bacteria; Pseudomonadati; Pseudomonadota; Gammaproteobacteria; Enterobacterales; Enterobacteriaceae
Also listed under: 2 other names
Description: partial 16S ribosomal RNA
Rfam family: Bacterial small subunit ribosomal RNA
Source: RNAcentral